Non-coding RNA from Arachis ipaensis, 695 nucleotides. Lineage: Eukaryota; Viridiplantae; Streptophyta; Magnoliopsida; Fabales; Fabaceae. The record is from RefSeq and is a predicted model, not a curated record.
ACCGGUUAAACCGGGUCCAAACCGGGCCUGUGGGCCCAACCGGCACAGCACAUUUAAGUGAUUUACGGGCUCUUCUUCCUCACUUUCAGAAGCACGCUGAAGCUAAAAGCAGGGAGAAGAGAAAGAAGAAAAUUCCCGAACCCUUACGGCAACCUUCAACUCGCCGUAACUUCUCCGUCCAAGCUCCGAUUGCUGCACCGUUUGCGGCCACGCGUCCAUCGCGUCGAGCUCUACAUUUCUACCAAAACAAUUUUAUUGGUUGUGAAUAAAUAAUUGGAGCUUAAAAUUGUGAAUAUUGGAACUUGGAGGAAGCUGAGCCUAGUGUUUAUUGAGUUUUGGAGGGGCUGUGUUUGUAUUAAAUAAGUUGCCUUGAUCACUACGUGGAAAUCGGCCAAGAGAUGGAAGUAUGGAGGAAUGGCAAUAUGGAACUUGGAUUUAAGGUCGAGAGGCAUCUUAUUAGGCGUCUGGACACCCGAAGCGAAGUGGUUACUGCGUCAUUUUGUUGUACAGUGAUGUAUAUAUAUACUUAGCUUCCUCUCCGCAUAACUUAUUCUUUUGAUCCUCUUAGAGAUUUAUGGAGAGACAGGAUUUUGUUUAUGUAUAUUUGGAUUUUGGAUAUGUAUGUAUAUAUGUGUAAAUAUUCUUCGGCCAACCUUGGCUUUGCGGGCUGAGUUAAGAGCUUGUUAUUUUGUAUC